AUUGAACGCUGGCGGCAUGCCUUACACAUGCAAGUCGAACGGCAGCAUGAUCUCGCUUGCUAGAUUGAUGGCGAGUGGCGGACGGGUGAGUAAUACAUCGGAACGUGCCUAGUAGUGGGGUAUAACGAGUCGAAAGAUUAGCUAGUACCGCAUACGACCUGAGGGUGAAUGUGCGGGACCGCAAGGGCUCAUGCGAUACGAUCGGCCGAUGUCUGAUUAGCUAGUUGGUGAGGUAAAGGCUCACCAAGGCGACGAUCAGUAGCUGGUCUGAGAGGACGAUCAGCCACACUGGGACUGAGACACGGCCCAGACUCCUACGGGAGGCAGCAGUAGGGAAUUUUGGACAAUGGGCGAAAGCCUGACCCAGCAAUGCCGCGUGUGUGAAGAAGGCCUUCGGGUUGUAAAGCACUUUUGUCAGGAAAGAAAUGGCUCUGGUUAAUACCUGGGGUCGCUGACGGUACCGAAAGAAUAAGGAACGGCUAACUACGUG
This 490-nucleotide ribosomal RNA is filed under the name uncultured bacterium. RNAcentral's name for it is "partial 16S ribosomal RNA". It matches the Rfam family "Bacterial small subunit ribosomal RNA", at positions 30 to 507 of the family's 1533-position model. The record is from RNAcentral.